UCAUUAAAUCAGUUAUCGUUUAUUUGAUAGUACCUUACUACUUGGAUAACCGUGGUAAUUCUAGAGCUAAUACAUGCUAAAAACCUCGACUUAGGAAGGGGUGUAUUUAUUAGAUAAAAAACCAAUGCCCUUCGGGGCUCACUGGUGAUUCAUAAUAACUUAACGAAUCGCAUGGCCUUGUGCCGGCGAUGGUUCAUUCAAAUUUCUGCCCUAUCAACUUUCGAUGGUAUGGUCUUGGCUUACCAUGGUUUCAACGGGUAACGGGGAAUUAGGGUUCUAUUCCGGAGAGGGAGCCUGAGAAACGGCUACCACAUCCAAGGAAGGCAGCAGGCGCGCAAAUUACCCAAUCCUGAUACAGGGAGGUAGUGACAAUAAAUACUGAUACAGGGCUCUUUUGGGUCUUGUAAUUGGAAUGAGUACAAUUUAAAUCCCUUAACGAGGAACAAUUGGAGGGCAAGUCUGGUGCCAGCAGCCGCGGUAAUUCCAGCUCCAAUAGCGUAUAUUAAAGUUGUUGCAGUUAAAAAGCUCGUAGUUGAACCUUGGGCCUGGUUGGCCGGUCCGCCUCACCGCGUGCACUGGUCCGACCGGGCCUUUCCUUCUGGGGAGCCGCAUGCCCUUCACUGGGUGUGUCGGGGAACCAGGACUUUUACUUUGAAAAAAUUAGAGUGUUCAAAGCAGGCCUAUGCUCGAAUACAUUAGCAUGGAAUAAUAGAAUAGGACGUGUGGUUCUAUUUUGUUGGUUUCUAGGACCGCCGUAAUGAUUAAUAGGGAUAGUCGGGGGCAUCAGUAUUCAAUUGUCAGAGGUGAAAUUCUUGGAUUUAUUGAAGACUAACUACUGCGAAAGCAUUUGCCAAGGAUGUUUUCAUUAAUCAGUGAACGAAAGUUAGGGGAUCGAAGACGAUCAGAUACCGUCGUAGUCUUAACCAUAAACUAUGCCGACUAGGGAUCGGGCGAUGUUAUCUUUUUGACUCGCUCGGCACCUUACGAGAAAUCAAAGUCUUUGGA
RNAcentral lists this ribosomal RNA (1005 nucleotides) under Nagrajchalara sp. 2 YD-2022. RNAcentral describes it as "SSU rRNA". It matches the Rfam family "Eukaryotic small subunit ribosomal RNA", at positions 98 to 1111 of the family's 1831-position model. The record is from RNAcentral. Lineage: Eukaryota; Fungi; Ascomycota; Leotiomycetes; Helotiales.